This is a long non-coding RNA of Myodes glareolus (Bank vole), 659 nucleotides long. RefSeq lists it as uncharacterized. The record is from RefSeq and is a predicted model, not a curated record. Lineage: Eukaryota; Metazoa; Chordata; Mammalia; Rodentia; Cricetidae.
GGAAGACUAAGGGGGACAGAGGAGUGGGGUGUUGCCUUCUGGGAAUCUGGCUGAAGCCCAGCUCCAACCGAGAAUCAAGCAUCCCAGCACAACGUGUGCUAAAUGUCCAAGAAAUCUUACAAACAAGACUAUUGACUUUCAAUAACAGUCGAGACAUCACUUCCUGGAGCCAUCUUAGGGUGCUGACGUACCAGCUGUAACCCUAGUGCACUCAGGAGCCAGCCCAAGAUCCCAUUUAAAUCCCUUAGCAACCCAUCUCUGUCACCGGUGAUCCGAGAGCCGUCCAAAAUUCUGUUGUAAUGGUGCAAACAUUUGCAAAUGCUGACUACAGAGAAGCCAACCUGAGAAGGCUGUGCAAAUUAUUCCAAAGAGAAAAUAAGACCACCAACAUUGGGGGAGACCCUGAAAAGACGAAACAGCAAGCAUGUCAGCCUGCCCUGGGACUCCAACGGAGGGAGCCACACCUACUGAGCCGUGAGAACUGAUCUGCUGUCGAGAGAGAAGAUAGUUUCAGAGUCAGUUAACUUGAGGGUCAUCUGACCAAGGCAAGUACGGUCAAGGCCUUUAGGAUGGGGAGUUUGUUUUCCCUUGACCUGCUUUACCUAAAGCCAAAUGUGAGGUAAACAACAUGGGGCGCAUUCAAGGCUCCUCUAUCGGCU